GACGAACGCUGGCGGCGUGCCUAAUACAUGCAAGUUGAGCGCUGAAGGUUGGUACUUGUACCAACUGGAUGAGCAGCGAACGGGUGAGUAACGCGUGGGGAAUCUGCCUUUGAGCGGGGGACAACAUUUGGAAACGAAUGCUAAUACCGCAUAAAAACUUUAAACACAAGUUUUAAGUUUGAAAGAUGCAAUUGCAUCACUCAAAGAUGAUCCCGCGUUGUAUUAGCUAGUUGGUGAGGUAAAGGCUCACCAAGGCGAUGAUACAUAGCCGACCUGAGAGGGUGAUCGGCCACAUUGGGACUGAGACACGGCCCAAACUCCUACGGGAGGCAGCAGUAGGGAAUCUUCGGCAAUGGACGAAAGUCUGACCGAGCAACGCCGCGUGAGUGAAGAAGGUUUUCGGAUCGUAAAACUCUGUUGGUAGAGAAGAACGUUGGUGAGAGUGGAAAGCACAUCAAGUGACGGUAACUACCCAGAAAGGGACGGCUAACUACGUG
This 497-nucleotide ribosomal RNA is filed under the name uncultured bacterium. RNAcentral describes it as "partial 16S ribosomal RNA". It matches the Rfam family "Bacterial small subunit ribosomal RNA", at positions 28 to 507 of the family's 1533-position model. The record is from RNAcentral.